GAUGAACGCUGGCGGCGUGCCUAAUACAUGCAAGUCGAGCGAACGGACGAGAAGCUUGCUUCUCUGAUGUUAGCGGCGGACGGGUGAGUAACACGUGGAUAACCUACCUAUAAGACUGGGAUAACUUCGGGAAACCGGAGCUAAUACCGGAUAAUAUUUUGAACCGCAUGGUUCAAAAGUGAAAGACGGUCUUGCUGUCACUUAUAGAUGGAUCCGCGCUGCAUUAGCUAGUUGGUAAGGUAACGGCUUACCAAGGCAACGAUGCAUAGCCGACCUGAGAGGGUGAUCGGCCGCACUGGAACUGAGACACGGUCCAGACUCCUACGGGAGGCAGCAGUAGGGAAUCUUCCGCAAUGGGCGAAAGCCUGACGGAGCAACGCCGAGUGAGUGAUGAAGGUCUUCGGAUCGUAAAACUCUGUUAUUAGGGAAGAACAUAUGUGUAAGUAACUGUGCACAUCUUGACGGUACCUAAUCAGAAAGCCACGGCUAACUACGUG
Molecule: ribosomal RNA, 497 nt
Filed under: uncultured bacterium
Lineage: Bacteria
Description: partial 16S ribosomal RNA
Rfam family: Bacterial small subunit ribosomal RNA
Source: RNAcentral